GGUGAACGCUGGCGGCGUGCUUGAGACAUGCAAGUCGAACGCAGUCUUCGGACUGAGUGGCGCAUGGGUGAGUAACACGUAACUGACCUACCCCCAAGUCGCGGAUAACUGGCCGAAAGGUCAGCUAAUACGUGAUGUGAUGUCCCCUUUCUGGGGGGCCAUUAAAGGUUUACUGCUUGGGGAUGGGGUUGCGUUCCAUCAGCUAGUUGGCGGGGUAAAGGCCCACCAAGGCAACGACGGAUAGCCGGCCUGAGAGGGUGGCCGGCCACAGGGGCACUGAGACACGGGUCCCACUCCUACGGGAGGCAGCAGUUAGGAAUCUUCCACAAUGGGCGAAAGCCUGAUGGAGCGACGCCGCGUGAGGGAUGAAGGUUCUCGGAUCGUAAACCUCUGAAUCAGGGACGAAAGACGCGUAAGCGGGAUGACGGUACCUGAGUAAUAGCACCGGCUAACUCCGUGCCAGCCGCCGCAGUAA
RNAcentral lists this ribosomal RNA (475 nucleotides) under uncultured bacterium. Its description in RNAcentral is "partial 16S ribosomal RNA". It matches the Rfam family "Bacterial small subunit ribosomal RNA", at positions 28 to 523 of the family's 1533-position model. The record is from RNAcentral.